RNAcentral lists this ribosomal RNA (498 nucleotides) under uncultured bacterium. Its description in RNAcentral is "partial 16S ribosomal RNA". It matches the Rfam family "Bacterial small subunit ribosomal RNA", at positions 899 to 1397 of the family's 1533-position model. The record is from RNAcentral.
ACUCAAAUGAAUAGACGGGGGCCCGCACAAGCGGCGGAGCAUGCGGAUUAAUUCGAUGCAACGCGAAGAACCUUACCAAGGCUUGACAUGUGCCGGUAAAACGCAGAGAUGUGUUCCCCCUUUGGGUCGGUGCACAGGUGGUGCAUGGUUGUCGUCAGCUCGUGUCGUGAGAUGUUGGGUUAAGUCCCGCAACGAGCGCAACCCUCGUUCUAUGUUGCCAGCACGUGAUGGUGGGGACUCAUAGGAGACUGCCGGGGUCAACUCGGAGGAAGGUGGGGAUGACGUCAAAUCAUCAUGCCCCUUAUGUCUUGGGCUUCACGCAUGCUACAAUGGCCAGUACAAAGGGCUGCGAUACCGUAAGGUGGAGCGAAUCCCAAAAAACUGGUCUCAGUUCGGAUUGGGGUCUGCAACUCGACCCCAUGAAGUCGGAGUCGCUAGUAAUCGCAGAUCAGCAACGCUGCGGUGAAUACGUUCCCGGGCCUUGUACACACCGCCCGU